Pelobates cultripes (western spadefoot toad) is the source of this 291-nucleotide non-coding RNA. Lineage: Eukaryota; Metazoa; Chordata; Amphibia; Anura; Pelobatidae. The record is from the annotation of a GenBank genome assembly.
UCAGAUCUCAAGCAGGAUACGGUGGCAGACUUCAACCCAGCAGUAGGACCUUGGGUGCAUCGAAGAAAGCUCUCACAAGUUGGGGACCGAUCGGGCUGCAGCGUACAGUUCUCAGAGUGAGGUCUGAGACGCACGCUAACCUCACCGACAAGCCGACAGCCAGAGGAAACUUUUGUGACACAAAGUAUCCACAUCCAUCCUGGCCGGUCCCAGAUACAAAUUACAAACAAGGACUACAAUUGUGCUGGUAAUAGUCUUGCUUUUCAUUCCUGGCUUAUAUUUUUGUAUUUU